This is a long non-coding RNA of Rattus norvegicus (Norway rat), 6549 nucleotides long. RefSeq lists it as uncharacterized. The record is from RefSeq and is a predicted model, not a curated record. NCBI's taxonomy places the organism in Eukaryota, Metazoa, Chordata, Mammalia, Rodentia, Muridae.
AGAGGAGGAGGAGGAAGAGGAGGAGGAAGAGGGGGGAAGAAGAGGAAGAACAGGAAGAGGAGGAGGAGGAAGAAAUCAAGCCAGGAGCAGUGGUACACACCUGUGAUCUAGGGAGGCUAAAACAAGAGGACCAUAAGUUUGAGGCCAGUUUGGGCGAUCAAGUUCCAGGCCAGCCUGGGUAAAAAGUCUCACAAAACCAAAAUAAAAGUUUCUGUAUAUUCGGUACACCUGCAAAUUUUCCCUGAAUAUUUCCAAUCGACCUGUGAUUGAGUUCCUUGCUGUAGAAACUGUGGGUAUAGUUUCUGUGGUCUGUGCCCACGUGGUGUGCUCACUGAGGGGAUGAGGAACAGAACUCAGUGAGGACCAAGGAGUGUCCCCAAGGGACAGGGAGAAGGAGCACAGUACCUCUUUGCCAGCUGCACCAUCCGAACCAGGUUCACCCUAGGAAGCAGAAAGCAUUAGAAACAUGAUGAGCUGUCACCCAACACAGCCUCUCAGGCCACACACCCUGCCCUACUCUCGGUGGCGCCACCAGAGGAGCCCUGAUCCUGCAGUUCCCACCCCCAUCCCCAGCCCCGCCUGCCUGAGUUAGAGCAAGGUGCCUUUUCUUGAGAAAUCUAUGCAUUUCCUGGCUCUGAGUGCGUUAAAUGUUUGUUGAAGGACCACAUGAACUGUGGGCCUCUGUCCUCAGUGAGACUGGCCAGGACAAGCUGGCCUUCCCUCCUUCCUUUCUUCCUUCCCCUCUUCUUCCCUUCUUCUUCCCUUCCCUUCCCUUCCCUUCCCUUCCCUUCCCUUCCCUUCCCUUCCCUUCCCUUCCCUUCCCUUCCCUUCCCUUCCCUUCCCUUCCCCAUGACACCACAACAGAAGCUGUCCAGUCCUGAGCCCUGGCCCAGGACUUUCUGAUGGGCUUCUAGAGAAGAGAAAUCUGGACAAGGGGUAGCCACAUCUAGGGCCUUGGCAGCUCCUGAGUCUGCAGAGGGAGAGGAAGCCUGGAAGGGAGAGCAUCCUCAGGGACUGUGAUGACUUGUACAUGCUUGGCCCAAGGGAGUGGCACUACUAGGAGGUGUGGCCCUGUUGGAGUAGGUGUGUCACUGUGGGUGUGGGCUUUAAGACCCUCAUCCUAGUUGCCUGGAGGUCAGUAUCCUGCUCGCAGCCUUCAGAUGAAGAUGUAGAACUCUCAGCUCUGCCUGCACCAGGCCUGCCUGGAUGCUGCCAAGUUCCUGCCUUGGUGAUAAUGGACUGAACCUCUGAGCCUUACUUUGAAUGUUCCCAAAUGCCUCCUGAACACCAUACAGCCCUGCUAUACUAGCACACAGCGGACUCGCUUUCUCCGGAGCCCUAUCAGCUUGGAGCCGUCACACUGUCACUGGGAGGUCCUGUGGGACAAGGACCCUUGACUCUCUGGCUCUGUGCUCUGGCCCUGGUUUGGAGCAGAUGUUGACCGCUAAUUACUGACUGACUGACUUGUGUCUGUCGCCUUCUCUGCAAGAAGCCUGCUGGGAUCUCCUCACAGCCUCCGCCUCCACAGCCACAGCCACCAGCCUGUGCAGAGCCCCAGCUGGAGUGACUCGGGCAGGGGCAGCAGGGGUCGCGGGCUCCUCCUCGUGGGAAGAUCUCCAGUCCAGUUGAUGAAGGGCCAGCAUAUCCUCUUUCUCCCUUGAUGCCCUGAGGAGCAACAGCAGAAUUAGCUCUGUGGCUGCCUUUGGUGGUGUUAAUGCAAGACAUGGGGCUGAGGCCGGUACCCAGACUGGCACCUGAAGGCUGAGGGCACCAAAACAGGGGACUAGAGAGAAGAGACGGUGGCCAGUAGAGCCUCCCACCUGCCACUGUGGCCGAUGCUGGAAAGUGGGACACACCCACCCUGAGGCUUUUGCAAGGGUGUCUCCCUCUCUCUCCCAAAACCCCCUGGGAAGCAAAUCUCAGUUCUUCCCAAACCUGGGACUCAAAGUGUGUUCCGAGAGUGUCUCCGUCCUUCCCUCCAUCAAAAUGGUGGGGGCAGCCAUAUUACCAAAGGAGCCAAAGUGGGGUAAGGGUCUACAUGGAUGGCCUGGCAGAGACUGUAUGUUCUUCAGGAACCCAGUUGAGGGGCACCCUGCUUGGCCCUGUCCUCGCCACCAGUCAUUCCCUGCUCUCCUCCUGUACCCCCAGAACCAGAGCUCUCUUACUCACAGGCAGUCCUGGGGGACCCAUGGCACCCGGGUAGCCAGGCUGUCCUGGGGGACCCUACAAAGAAAGAAAGACAUGAUGAUGGGCCAGCCCUCAGCAGUUCUGUGACCCAAGCCAGAACACCUGGCUCUGCCGUCCAACAGGUGCCCGCCCACCUGUGCACAGUUCCCACUCUGGGCCAUUUCCCAAACCCAGGUCCUCUCCACUAGGUGACAAGCCCCAGGCUCACCGGAGCCCUGGGAGCAGAGCAGAAAAAGAAGCUCAGAGUGAGGUGGGGAGGAGCAGGCAUACAUAGAGGGCUCACCAGCGCUACGGGCUGAGGGAAGGAGAGGUUCCUGGGCAAUGGGAUACAGGAACUGGAGCUGUAUGUGCUCCUCCCAGGGUGUAGCGGUGUACGGACACCCAGUUUCUCAGAUCCAAGGGCUGUGAAGCCCUUUCUUUUGUAGCCCUCAGCCCUUCUAGAUUGGGGCUGAGGAUUUCAAAAGAAGGCACCUCCCUACUUCUACUCAGUGGCCGCCCCUCAAGCUAACUCCACCAGGCUCCUCUUCUUACCGGUUCUCCCUUGUCUCCAGUCAGGCCUGUGGGGCCUCGCUCCCCUUGAAGACCCUUAGAGAGAGAAACCAUGAGAAACCGCAGAGGAGGUUAAUCCCUACCUAGCCCAGGCUCUUCCCUGCCAUGUGCCUCUCUUUCCAUUCUGCACGAAGGUCACAAGUGGCAACCAGUGCCCCUGGCAGAGUGACUGUCUGUGGUGUACCCAGGGUACAGUCCAAACAUAUGGAUGCCUCUCAGGGGCAUGGCUUCCAGAGAGGCAGCAGCAGAGACACACAAUUCCAGUGAGCAGCAGACAGGGUACCCCUGUCACCAACGCUGCUGUGUCCCACUGUGGAGGCCGUCUGGGAUGCACCUUUAGGGACAUGCGUGCUCCUUCGGGUGGCCAUCAGGAUAGGUGUCCCCGCAAAGGAUGUUCUGUGUCACCAUGUCACUUACCUGUCCCAGUUCCCACCCAAGUGCAAAUCACCAUCUUUAGGGAUACAAGGGACAGGCACAAGAGGGCUCUCUCCAGAACAAUUCCAUGUCACUCAGUAACAGGGAAUGGGGACAUGGGUUUCGAUCAAAGCCCCUCAUUCCUCGCCCUGACCUCCACAGCUCCCACACUGAAGACAUCUCGGCCACCCCCUUCUCCCUCGUACCUGCUAGAAGUGCUACCCAAACCUCUCCAUGACACAAGACAGAUGGCUAGACAGACAGAUGGCCCCUUCACCCAAGCAAGCAGAAACAGACAUGGUCCGGCCAGGGAUGAAGACGUGGGAACAGAUGGAAAUGUGACAAAGGCAGGGGGCGGGGAUGCCUGGCCCCUGGCCUCAACCACCACUCCUGGGAGGGCAGGAGGCAGCCCGGGAAACACAAAUCCAACAAACAAGGGGUUUAGCUUCCAUGACCCAGGAGAGAGCAACAAUGAGGAUGGGGAGGGGGUUUAUGAUUUAAACACACCUGUGACAAUGACUGUGACAAGACAGAGCAGUUAACGACACCUGGCAGAAGGAUCAGCCUGAGGCCUUAGGCACAGUGGGGCAGGGCCCUAACACCAGAAACCCAGCAGGCUGGCACCACAUGCCCAGCCUUGGAGCAGACUCGGCAUGGAGCCAAGGAAGAGGGACGAAGAGGAGGCCCUGGGUUUCCUCUCGCUGCAGGGAAGGGUGCACACAGAGCUGCCCGUGAAUCCCCAGAGCGCCUCUGGACAGCCCUACCAGGCAGCAGGGCGGCUGACCUGUGCCAGCCUGCAGUGCGAAGCCCUAAAGCUUUGGCGUCUCUGCUGGGCACAGAGCCAGGUGCCUGGCAGGGCCCCAAGGACUACUUUCAGCAAAUCUUCAAUCCACACAGCGUGGUGGGAAGCAGGAGGCAGGAGCGAGACGGGAGAGAUAAAGUGGCUCCCUUUCUAGAGGCACCAACUUCCAGCCAGAAGGCUGAGUUCAGUUCCUGCGUUUGACCUUUUGUGGAGCCCUAGAUCACAAAGCCAACAUGUAAGAUGUUAGAAGUGUGAUCCAUCUGGGGUUGGAGUCACGCCAUCACUGCCUGGAGGGCAGGACCCUGAGACCAGGAGAGAAGAGCUGGAGUCUCCUUCCCACAACCUCACUGUGCCACAGCUCAGGGCUGCUGCUAGGUUAACCCAACCACCUCCACCAGUGGCUUCUGGAAACACCCAUGGUUCAAAGAGGGGCAGGGCAGGCAGCCCUUAUACUGUGCCCUGACCAAAGCUCAGUGGAGUGACAUAUUGUCUACGACUCUGACAAGCCUGUGCCCAAGAGAGCCGUUAGAGGAGGAUUCAUGGGCAAAGGUAUCCUGAGGGUGCUGUGCUCUUGAGAGAGCCCCAGGAACUUGAAGUCAGCCUGCAGGAAUGAAUGGCCCAGCUCAUGUCAUUUCUGGAGGUGCCUAAGAAAGGGCAAGAGGAGGCUCUACAGGAAGCUUGGGGCUCCUGAGAACUCAGUCAGCCAGACCAGACCACAGCCCUUUAGCAGGACUACAGUUCGACUCUCCUCGGCGGCUGGGCAUUUGUGGCCUUCCUUUAAGCAUUCGUUCAGCAAAGGUUGCCUAGAGGAUUCCAGCCAGGCCCUCUUAGACAGCUGCUUAGAAAGCACUUUCCCCCACAGCGAGGGACGAGAGACAGCAGGCUCAGCCUGCUACUGGUGGUGGCAGACAACUGAGCACCUGCUGUGGGAAUCCCCUUUGGUGACACCUGCCAGAGGCCUCUCUGUGCCCUCUUACCUUGAGGAGAUGCUGCUCGAUGGGUAAGGAUCCCUGCAAGAGACAGAAGCAGGUUCUAGCUGGUCAGGAGGGGAAGCUCAUACGGCGUAGAGGAGCAGCCAGCCUCAAGAUCCGGGAGUGAAGGAGGACACCCCCCACCCCCAGCGCCUGGCCAGCUCAUCCCCGGGAAGGACAAGAAGGACGAUGGCCAGUGCGUCCUGGCUGAUACCCACCAGCUCGGCAGUGAGCCCAGGCUGUCCUGGCAAACCGUUGUGUCCAGGCACUCCCUGAGGCAGAAAAGAAACAAGAGAUCGGACUCUUCUUCCAGCCUAGUGAUCUCCUUGCUGGGGCUCACAGCCCUGCCACCUGUCACAGGCUCUUGCAUGGGUGGCAGCUCUGGCUACCCUCAGCCUCAAGGUCUCCCACGGCUGGGGACUGCGGGGAGCCAAGGAGGCACAGAGUAGUUCCCCUACUCAAAAGUAGUUCCUCUGGGAGCAUUUCCUUGUGCGGCAGGUCAGAAGCUGGGCAGAGGGUCUUCUAUAGGGUGACUGCUGUGGGCUAUCCUAAGUCACUUCCCCAUACUCUCUCAUUAAUCACCAUCGGAGUUUACUGGAAAUGAAGGGCCUGGGAGAAGCUCGUAGGUUGAGUGAGACAUAUGAGAGUCCGAGAGAGGGCCACCGGCUCCCAACCUCCUUUGUCCACUAAGCGUGCCCCAUCCCUUAAAGGUGUCCCGGCAGUAUUGGAUGCUUGCCAACUGAACCAUCUAGGUGCAAGUCCUCACCACCCUCUGUGCCUCCGUUUCCUUCUCUGUAAGACAGUCAUCAUGUACAGACGGCUUCAGGAGACCGUGCUGUGAGAGACACAGCACAGCCCAGAGGUAGGAUGUACCGGGACUCUCCUGCUAAGGGUUUGCCACCCAGCCUCUGGCUCUCUUGCAUGUUCACAACGCACAUUUGCAUAUUAGAUACUCUGCUGAUGCAGGGAAGGCGUUCGAUUUCGAAUCCCUAGCACCCCAUGAGGAGCAGCAGCACAUUAGAUAUGUGUUGAAUGAACGCAUCGCUGCCCAGCCUGCUCUUCCUGGGACGGGAUUUCCUGGGCCUGCUCUGAGAUCUGACCUCCCCUUCAAGACCCAGCUUCCGGCACUGGAACAGGUCAGCUGCCCCUGAGUAGCCCCCCCUCCUAUCCACUGCAGGUGCUUCCACUGCGGGGUCACCGCCCAGCCUCCUCUAGUCCACAGUACCUGACAUGUGGGUAAUGCUUGGAAUAUUUUUGUUCAGAUAAUUGGUCUCAUGCACGCCUUACACUCACUAUGUAGCUGAGGACGGUUUUGAACUUCCGAUCCCACUGCCUGUACUGCCUGAGGGCUGGGAUUACAGGCAUGUGCCACCUCGAUCAUUUUAUGGGGCACUGGGGAUCCAACCCAGGGCUUCUUGUAUACUAGACAAGCAUCCGGCCAACCGAGCCACACCCCAGCAGUUACUACACCGCUCCACUCUCGGUGCUGCGCUGCUGGCUCCAGCCUGAGGGUGUGAUCCUUUCUUAGCCUGAUAGAAUUACAUAUCCAUGUUCUCCUGUACAAGUAGGGUAUGCAGCCGAGUUUGACUGCUACCUGCCAGUUAUUAAAGAUCUUGGGCACAUUUU